UGUAAGCGUAUACCAAAGUUGUUGCAGUUAAAACGCUCGUAGUCGGAAUUUGGCAGUUCCGGAUGUGUGCGCGUCGUGUGCGCACUUCGCGGGGAUUGCUUUUGUGGUCUUGCGUAGGAUGAGGCACUUUUAUUAGUGAACGUCCUCACGCAACCACUUUUUACUGUGAGAAAAUCAGAGUGCUCAAAGCAGGCAUUUGCCGUGAAUGUAUUAGCAUGGAAUAAUAGAAUAGGACUUGGUUCUAUUUUGCUGGUUUGUUGGGACUGAGUAAUGAUUAAGAGGGACAGUUGGGGGCAUUUGUAUUUCGGUGCUAGAGGUGAAAUUCUUAGAUUACCGAAAGACAAACUGCUGCGAAAGCGUCUGCCAAGGAUGUUUUCAUUGA
RNAcentral lists this ribosomal RNA (382 nucleotides) under uncultured eukaryote. RNAcentral describes it as "partial 18S ribosomal RNA". It matches the Rfam family "Eukaryotic small subunit ribosomal RNA", at positions 592 to 976 of the family's 1831-position model. The record is from RNAcentral.